Non-coding RNA from Vicugna pacos (alpaca), 1490 nucleotides. NCBI's taxonomy places the organism in Eukaryota, Metazoa, Chordata, Mammalia, Artiodactyla, Camelidae. The record is from RefSeq and is a predicted model, not a curated record.
GCUAUUUCAGCAUUGGGAGGAACAACAGCCCAGACACUGAAGAAGGAACCUAAGUCAGAGAUCUUGUGUUUAGGAGGCAACAAGAAGGUUGACAGAAGACCAAGCAGGAAGUGGAUAACUAGCUAUGCAGCCCAAGAAAGUCAGGCACAAACUUACAGAGACAAAUAAGGAAGAGUGGAGACAACAGCAACAAAACUUUGGAAGCUGGGAGAAGAUAUGAGAAAGCUAAAUUCUAACCCAGCUGUGAGAAAAGUUGAGAGGGAGCCUGAUUUGUGGGGAAAUUUUUCAAAUAAAAAUCCAGGAAUGGGCAUCAUCAGGUACCUCUGGAAGUUCUGUUGCAGGUAAGGUUGCUUAAGAAGGAGCUGGACCUCCAGAUCCCUUCCCCUACUCCACGCAGCAGGUCAGCUACCCCCGCAGCAGAUGACUGGAGAGAAUUAUUUCCUGGAAACAGACAUGCAGAGUGUACACUCCAAAAAACAGGUGGAUUCAAUUUACAUACUGAGUGCUAGGAUUUCCAGUAUUUCUUGCCCUUUUCUGGAACACUGGUAAACACACACACACACACACACACACGAUUGAAGUCUUCUCUAGGAAAUUUGACCAGCAUAAGAGAAAGAUCUGAAAAUACUCUGAGGGUUCCUUCUGGAAGAGCAAGGCCAGGUCACCAUACAGUGAAGUCCUUGGUGAAUAAAAACUACAUGCAUUCACCUAUCAGCUUUUAGUCUGCAUUCCUAGUGAGAGCACCCAGACAAGGAUGACCAGGAUCUGAUUCUAACAUGAGAGAGACUGAAACAAGUAAGCAGUGGGAGAAAACAGAGGCUUUGGGAGACAGUAAAACUUAAAAACUAUUGUUAAUACACUCAGAGACAAGCUACUGUAUGUAUAAGAUAAGAAAAGGAUGAUAUUUUAGAAAAAAUAUUAUUUGGGGGGUAAAGCACCCUUAGAAAUUAAAAAUAGAAUUAUGGAAAUAAAAAAUACAAUAGAUGAGUUGGGGGAUAAAUUAGAGGAAGUCUUCCAAAAGUGGUACAAAAAUGGAAAGUAGAGGAUAAAAGAAGGAAAGCCAGAGCAUAUGACUGGGAAGUCAAACACCUGUCUGAUAGGAGUUGCUCAGAGAGAACAGAGAGAAAAUGGAGAAGAGAAAAUCACCAGUGAAAUAACUCAGUACUUCCCCAAACACAAGGCUGUGAGCUUUUCGAUCAAAAUAAACCCAGCACCAGAGCUAAUAACAAACCUACACUAAGGUACCUCAUUGUGAAAUUUCAGAACUCUGGAGAUAAAAAAAUAUACCAAGGGCUUCUAGAAAGAGGAGAUUUCAUAAGAAGAAUCAAGAUGCAGAACAGUAUGACAUUUCUCAACAGUGAUGCUGGAAGCUAGAAGACAAUGAAUUAAAGCCUUCAAAAUUCUGAGGAAAAAUUGUUUCCAACCUAGACUUCUUAUCUGGACAAAUAAUAAAUUAAAUGUAAAGGUAGAAUAAAGACAUUCUCAGAUGU